AAAGGACCUAGGAAAGGCAUAUUCCAGGAUCACUUUUUACAUAUGCCUAGAAACACACUUUAAAGGAGAGAUGCACCAGGACAUUCAGCAACAAUUCAGCCUGGACAGGUAAUAAGGCAGACUGUGGCAGCCUGACGUUUCUUACCUUCAUUGUUGUUGUUUCAGACAUUUUAAUUUGUUUUUCAGAUAGUGAUAUCUGAUACUGAGGAUAUGGAUCCACCUGAAAUAAAUCCAGACAAGACUUCUUGCUACAGUAAAAACACAGACCUGUAUGCACCAGGUAUUGAGGAUGAGGAGCUGGUUGCAGUCCAUGUGGAGAAUUUCCAACACACAGCAGUGUAAAAUGAGUUUUUUACUGUGGCAUUCCAGUUUUUCACUGUGCAGUAUUUCUGGUAUUUAAAUCAUUUUUGUAAAAGUAGCAAAUUGUGCACUGUCAGAAAUAUCCACUAAUUAGAUUACUUUUUGUCAUUGCAGGGAGGAGAACAUUACACUAGCUGACAUUGUGGCAAACCUGUCACUUCCUAUUGAUCACAAAACAGUCAGCAGGUUCAACAUCUCAAAGACUAAUGUUUGGGAUGGAGCAGUCAGAGGUUUUAAGCGUACAACAUAUUCUGAAACCUGUGACAUGCUGGUCAAAUUUACUGAUGAUGCUGGUGUUUACGAGGAGGGAAUUGACACAGGUGGUCCCAGAUGAGAAUUUUUAACUCUGCUAAUGAAACACCUGAAAGACC
Epinephelus fuscoguttatus (brown-marbled grouper) is the source of this 731-nucleotide long non-coding RNA. RefSeq lists it as uncharacterized. Lineage: Eukaryota; Metazoa; Chordata; Actinopteri; Perciformes; Serranidae. The transcript is spliced from 3 exons. The record is from RefSeq and is a predicted model, not a curated record.